This 268-nucleotide RNase P RNA is filed under the name Mixta calida. RNAcentral describes it as "partial RNase P RNA component class A". It matches the Rfam family "Bacterial RNase P class A", at positions 1 to 242 of the family's 367-position model. Rfam says of the family: Ribonuclease P (RNase P) is a ubiquitous endoribonuclease, found in archaea, bacteria and eukarya as well as chloroplasts and mitochondria. Lineage: Bacteria; Pseudomonadati; Pseudomonadota; Gammaproteobacteria; Enterobacterales; Erwiniaceae. The record is from RNAcentral.
GAAGCUGACCAGACAGUCGCCGCUUUGUCGUCGUCCUCCUUCGGGGGGAGACGGGCAAAGGGGAGGAAAGUCCGGGCUCCAUAGGGCAGGGUGCCAGGUAACGCCUGGGAGGCGCAAGCCUACGACCAGUGCAACAGAGAGCAAACCGCCGAUGGCUCAUUCGUGAGUACAGGUAAGGGUGAAAGGGUGCGGUAAGAGCGCACCGCGCGGCUGGUAACAGUCCGUGGCACGGUAAACUCCACCCGGAGCAAGGCCAAAUAGGGGUUCA